AUACGGAGGAUCCGAGCGUUAUCCGGAUUUAUUGGGUUUAAAGGGUGCGCAGGCGGCCAUUUAAGUCAGCGGUUAAAUCGAGGGCUCAACCCCAUUCUGCCGUUGAUACUGGGUGGCUUGAUUGCGGUCGAGGUUGGCGGAAUUCGUUGUGUAGCGGUGAAAUGCAUAGAUAUGACGAAGAACACCGAUUGCGUAGGCAGCUGACCAGACCGCAAAUGACGCUCAUGCACGAAAGUGCGGGGAUCGAACAGGAUUAGAUACCCUGGUAGUCCGCACAGUAAACGAUGAAUACUUGUUUUCGGCGAUAUAAUGUCGGAGGCAAAGCGAAAGCGAUAAGUAUUCCACCUGGGGAGUACGCCGGCAACGGUGAAACUCAAAGGAAUUGACGGGG
Molecule: ribosomal RNA, 391 nt
Filed under: uncultured bacterium
Lineage: Bacteria
Description: partial 16S ribosomal RNA
Rfam family: Bacterial small subunit ribosomal RNA
Source: RNAcentral